GACGAACGCUGGCGGCGUGCUUAACACAUGCGAGUCGUACGGUAAGGCCCUUUCGGGGGUACACGAGUGGCGCACGGGUGAGUAACACGUGAGUAACCUGCCCACAACUUUGGGAUAACGCUAGGAAACUGGUGCUAAUACUGGAUAUGUGCUCCUGCUGCAUGGUGGGGGUUGGAAAGCUCCGGCGGUUGUGGAUGGACUCGCGGCCUAUCAGCUUGUUGGUGGGGUAGUGGCCUACAAAGGCGGCGACGGGUAGCCGGCCUGAGAGGGUGACCGGCCAAAAUGGGACUGAGAUACGGCCCAGACUCCUACGGGAGGCAGCAGUGGGGAAUAUUGCACAAUGGGCGCAAGCCUGAUGCAGCAACGCCGCGUGCGGGAUGACGGCCUUCGGGUUGUAAACCGCUUUCAGCAGGGACGAAGCUUUUUGUGACGGUACCUGCAGAAGAAGCACCGGCUAACUACGUG
RNAcentral lists this ribosomal RNA (465 nucleotides) under uncultured bacterium. RNAcentral's name for it is "partial 16S ribosomal RNA". It matches the Rfam family "Bacterial small subunit ribosomal RNA", at positions 28 to 507 of the family's 1533-position model. The record is from RNAcentral.